AUGGAUGGUCUCCACGGAGACGACGAGGCGCACACGUUCCCUCGCUUCCCCUACUUCUCGGCGCCGUCGACGCCGCCGCCACUCGCGUCACCACUGGCCUCGUCGUCGGACGGUCAGCACAGCCCGCUCGCCGCAGCGCUCCAGCAGCUGGCCCCGCCGCCGUGGCCGUGUACUCCUCCUGAUCUGACCCUUCAGCCGGCGAUGGGGGACGUGGACUGGUCGUCCCUGUUCCAGACGGAGCUGGUGGCUCCGCCGGAGCAGAAGGAGGAGGCCGUGCAGGCGGAUCAGAGCGGGGAGAACGACGGCGAGGCGGGUGGCAGUGGAAGUGGUAACAAGGAGAAGGCGAAGGGAAGCGCGGGGAGAUCGGGGAAGAAGAAGGCGAGCAAGCCGCGGUUCGCGUUCCAUACGAGGAGCGAGAACGAUAUCCUGGACGACGGCUACCGCUGGAGGAAGUACGGGCAGAAGGCCGUCAAGAACAGCUCCAACCCUAGGAGCUACUACCGGUGCACCCAUCCCACAUGCAACGUGAAGAAGCAGGUGCAGCGCCUGGCCAAGGACACGGCCAUCGUGGUGACCACGUAUGAGGGCGUGCACAACCACCCGUGCGAGAAGCUCAUGGAGGCGCUCGGCCCCAUCCUGAAGCAGCUCCAGUUCCUCUCCCAAUUCUAA
Molecule: ribosomal RNA, 669 nt
Filed under: Triticum aestivum (bread wheat)
Lineage: Eukaryota; Viridiplantae; Streptophyta; Magnoliopsida; Poales; Poaceae
Description: partial small subunit ribosomal RNA
Source: RNAcentral